AUACUUGUUCUAAAUACUACGUGCACGUCGAGCGGACAGAUGGGAGCUUGCUCCCUGAUGUUAGCGGCCCCACGGGUGAGUAACACGUGGGUAACCUGCCUGUAAGACUGGGAUAACUCCGGGAAACCGGGGCUAAUACCGGAUGGUUGUUUGAACCGCAUGGUUCAAACAUAAAAGGUGGCUUCGGCUACCACUUACAGAUGGACCCGCGGCGCAUUAGCUAGUUGGUGAGGUAACGGCUCACCAAGGCAACGAUGCGUAGCCGACCUGAGAGGGUGAUCGGCCACACUGGGACUGAGACACGGCCCAGACUCCUACGGGAGGCAGCAGUAGGGAAUCUUCCGCAAUGGACGAAAGUCUGACGGAGCAACGCCGCGUGAGUGAUGAAGGUUUUCGGAUCGUAAAGCUCUGUUGUUAGGGAAGAACAAGUACCGUUCGAAUAGGGCGGUACCUUGACGGUACCUAACCAGAAAGCCACGGCUAACUACGUGCCAGCAGCCGCGGUAAUACGUAGGUGGCAAGCGUUGUCCGGAAUUAUUGGGCGUAAAGGGCUCGCAGGCGGUUUCUUAAGUCUGAUGUGAAAGCCCCCGGCUCAACCGGGGAGGGUCAUUGGAAACUGGGGAACUUGAGUGCAGAAGAGGAGAGUGGAAUUCCACGUGUAGCGGUGAAAUGCGUAGAGAUGUGGAGGAACACCAGUGGCGAAGGCGACUCUCUGGUCUGUAACUGACGCUGAGGAGCGAAAGCGUGGGGAGCGAACAGGAUUAGAUACCCUGGGUAGUC
This 780-nucleotide ribosomal RNA is filed under the name Bacillus subtilis. RNAcentral's name for it is "bacterial SSU rRNA". It matches the Rfam family "Bacterial small subunit ribosomal RNA", at positions 33 to 795 of the family's 1533-position model. Lineage: Bacteria; Bacillati; Bacillota; Bacilli; Caryophanales; Bacillaceae. The record is from RNAcentral.